UCCAUGAGGUUUGAUAAGAGACUAGUCUGUAAAUUCUGCUGGAGCAGCUUGCAAAGUCCAUGGCAGCAAACACAGGAGAAGUGCCUGACCACGUCGUGCGAGCAGCCGUCUCGCCUCGUGGCCAGUGAGGUCAAGGGCAGUGUUGACUAGUGACCUGGAUGUCCAAAUCAGUGGUGUUGCUUAAGCCACCUUCACGCCUCCAGGCCAUUGCAGACAYCAUAUUCAUCCUGGAGGCCCCCRGCAAGCACGUAUGGAACAACGCAUCAAGCAACACACCACCACGCUGGAACAGCCCCCGAAGCAACCCCGGAUCGGCACAGCCCACAGCUACCCCARGAUGUUUUUCCGGCAGGGAUAGCCAGAUCAGUGCCAGAUCAGGGGGCUGAUUGGAGUCUGCCACCGGCGACCCGUCGGUGCUCCUUCUCCCUCUCUCCCCCCCAGAUUUCAUUUCCUCACCCAUGGGAUUUGGGGGCUAAGUGCUGGUUAUACGUGUACAGGGAGGGGCUGAUUUGUGGCUGCCCAGCCUUGCKGCCCUGCUGAGGCUCUGUUUUUGCCCCUGGCAGCCUGCUCUGGUUAGAGAAGAUGGGGCUUUGCUGCAGGCUCYGAUGCCUGCGGCCUUGGACAAAUCUGAAAGCCUUGGACCGAUGCCUGGGAGCAGAGCUGGAGCCAGGGUGGGUGCAGAGCUGCUGGACCCUGUCCCUUUCCCUCCCUGCCUCUCUCUGUCCUGCUUUUCCCUGAUUCACCAUGGUUAAUGGGACAGACAGAGGGCUUCAGUUUUGUAUUCGAGGGAAACYAGAGUUUGCUUUUAGAGGAUUUUCAUCAGCUCAUCCCUUCCCUUCUCCCACUCGGUGCCCCAGCAGCCCACCAGGUACCACCUCCCUGGAGUGAGGUGAGGUCUCUCGGACCAAGCGCUGGGAGGAAGCACCCUCAGAAAUGUUUAUUAUUGCUGUUAAAUGAUAAGCUCCUUUUCUUUUUUUCCCCUUCCUUGCCUUCACUUUUGCCAUGGGGCUAGUGGCCUCUGCUGUGGUCUCCCCUGCUUUCUUUUUCCUGUUUUGAUCUCUAGCAAGACUUGCUGCCCUUGAAGGACAGGGUUAGCCCAGCAGGUUUUCACUGCUGAGCCACUGACUUGCGAUUCAGAGUGUGUGUCUUCCUCCAGGCCCUGCUGCAGACUCCCACCAUCGCCCCGGGUAGGUCGCCCAGGCUCGGGUACAUGUGGGGUUUUGGAGACCAAGCUGCUGUUCAGGUGUCUGCUUUC
Molecule: long non-coding RNA, 1255 nt
Filed under: Dromaius novaehollandiae (emu)
Lineage: Eukaryota; Metazoa; Chordata; Aves; Casuariiformes; Dromaiidae
Description: lncRNA (ENSDNVG00000009127.1)
Source: RNAcentral